Molecule: long non-coding RNA, 983 nt
Organism: Monopterus albus (swamp eel)
Lineage: Eukaryota; Metazoa; Chordata; Actinopteri; Synbranchiformes; Synbranchidae
Exons: 6
Source: RefSeq, a predicted model, not a curated record
AACCCCCAAAGAAAAAAAAAAAAAAAGAGCGCAAAGGACACAGAAACACUGCCUGCAGACACCCCUACCAUACAUCCACUCAGUGACACUCUGCUUACCUCUGUCUACCAAAAAGAGGAAAAAGACAGACAGGAGAAGGUGGUAGAGGAAGAGGAGGGGGACAUGUCUCAGGUAGUUCCAUUAGAGAGAAUGGCAGCAAAGAAAAAAGAAGGUUAAAGAUGUGGCAGAGGAGGAGAGCGAGGCAGCAGGAGAGGUGGUGAACUGUGCGAGUCUGGCAGAUAACAGGAAAGAAUGAAGAAGAGGAAGAGGAGGAGGGGAAAAAAGGAAAAGUGCAGGGGCAGUCUGAUGAAAGACCAGCAGGGGGCAACAAAGACACAGCAAAGAAGUUGGAUGCCACAGGCGGCGACUCCUCUCAGCUCUCCUCAGCCAAGAAUAAACAUCAUUGCAAGAGGAAAUUGAUGCUCCACAAGGAAGAGCAGCAUCUUCCAGGCAGGACAGACUGAGGCCACAGGCACAAAGAAACAGACACAGCCAAGAGUAAACAGACGAGACGCCUCUACUCAAACCAAUGAAAAGACCCCAACCAGACCUCGCCGUCUCGUCUGCUCUCCUGUCAGCGUGAGCCAAGCUGCACCUGUGACGAAAAGAGGAAGAACAGAAGGAGGAACAGAACCUCCUGGCACUCCUGGAGCUGCUUCUACGGAAAGCAAACGAGCAUCUCCCACAGUCCUCCUGCUCCUACAGGCUCCUGAGCUUCUGUUCAUGGGUCAUUUCACCUAUGAUUAAAAACAAAAUGCGUUUUCAGUGGAUAACAACUGGAUCUUGGACCUGACAGUCAAACCUGCUCUGAGGGAACCUUGUGUUUUCAGUCGUUUCACUUUUUUUUUUGCUCAAACAGUUUACAUCCACCUGUAUUGUUGACUAUGCACUGCUGUUACUACAUGUUAAUAUUUGGAUGUUUGUGAGGACCAACAAGAAAAUAA